This 728-nucleotide ribosomal RNA is filed under the name uncultured archaeon. RNAcentral's name for it is "bacterial SSU rRNA". It matches the Rfam family "Archaeal small subunit ribosomal RNA", at positions 172 to 885 of the family's 1478-position model. The record is from RNAcentral.
GGAAGGAGUUGUAGCCGAAACGGUACGCGAAAUGUAGCGCAACCGCUAUGCGAUGAGACUGCGCCGGAUCAGGCAGUUGGCGGGGUAACGGCCCACCAAACCUAUUACCCGUAGGGGUUGUGAGAGCAAGAGCCCCGAGAAGGGCACUGAGACAAGGGCCCUAGUGCUACGGCAUGCAGCGGGAGCGCAAACUCUACAAUGCGCGUAAGCGUGAUAGGGGGAAUCCGAGUGGUUCACUUCGGUGAACCUUUUGCCAAGUACAGCAAGCUUGGCGAAUAAGAGCUGGGCAAGACCGGUGGCAGCCGCCACGGUAAUACCGGCAGCUCAAGUGGUGUCCACGAUUAUUGGGCUUAAAGCGCUCGUAGCUGGCCUACACCGUUUCAUGUGAAAUAUUGGCGCUCAACGUCAAUGCGUGCAUGAAAUACCUGUAGGCUAGGGAGUGGGUGAGGUAAGGGGUACUCAUAGGGGAGGGGUAAAAUCCUGUAAUCCUGUGAGGACCAACGGUGGCGAAGGCGCCUUACCAGAACACAUCCGACAGUGAGGAGCGAAGGCUAGGAGAACGAAUCGGAUUAGAUACCCGAGUAGCCCCUAGCAGUAAAUUAUGCAGACUCUGGUGUUGCAAUAGUCUUGAACGAUUGCAGUACCGUAGCGAAAGUGUUAAGUCUGCCGCCUGGGGAGUACGGCCGCAAGGUUGAAACUUAAAGGAAUUGGCGGGGGAGCACAAGGGC